GAUGAAGAACGCAGCGAAAUGCGAUACGUAAUGUGAAUUGCAGAAUUCAGUGAAUCAUCGAGUCUUUGAACGCACAUUGCGCCCCCUGGUAUUCCGGGGGGCAUGCCUGUCCGAGCGUCAUUGCUGCCCUCAAGCCCGGCUUGUGUGUUUGGUCUCGUCCCCCUUCCCGGGGGGACGGGCCCGAAAGGCAGCGGCGGCACCGCGUCCGGUCCUCGAGCGUAUGGGGCUUUGUCACCCGCUCUGUAGGCCCGGCCGGCGCUUGCCGAUCAACCAAAACUUUUUUCCAGGUUGACCUCGGAUCAGGUAGGGAUACCCGCUGAACUUAAGCAUAUCAAUAAGCGGAGGA
RNAcentral lists this unclassified non-coding RNA (346 nucleotides) under soil metagenome. RNAcentral describes it as "partial contains 5.8S ribosomal RNA, internal transcribed spacer 2, and large subunit ribosomal RNA". The stretch from base 1 to 120 matches the Rfam family "5.8S ribosomal RNA", at positions 35 to 154 of the family's 154-position model. The record is from RNAcentral.